This 680-nucleotide long non-coding RNA is filed under the name Brassica rapa (field mustard). Its description in RNAcentral is "long non-coding RNA (BRAP_LNC007018)". The record is from RNAcentral. Lineage: Eukaryota; Viridiplantae; Streptophyta; Magnoliopsida; Brassicales; Brassicaceae.
GGUUUACUGUUCUGCAUAAAUAUACAAAUGUACAUAGAUACUUACACCAAAUUGAUCUUCACAUUCAUGGUUAGUGUUAUGGUUAAACAUAUAUUUUAUAAAUAUUCGAAAUGUACACAAAUAAUUGGGGAAAUUUUAUGUUUACCGUUUUCAAGCUACCACUUUUCAUCUUUACCAUCAUUAAAAAGAUAUUUUCAAAAGUAUAUUCUUCAAUAAGUGGCAAAAGACUCUUAUAUCCUUGUUAUUUAUAUAUAUAAUAAAUCAUUAUUUAAAUAAAAAAUUAAAAUCAUAGAAAUUUUUUUUUAUGUUUUCGAAUUAUACUUUUUCAAAUUCGAACAUUUUUAUAAUUUUUUUUUGAAUUAUUUUUUUGAUUUUUUUUUCGAAAACUUUUUUUUUAUUUUUUUUCAAAUUUCUUUUUGAAAAUCGAAAAUUAUGUUUGAAACUUUUUUUUUAAAUUUUUAAUAUUUUUAAGUAUUUAUUUAUAGAUUUAUUAAAAUCCUAAAUUUCAAAUUCCAAAAACCCUACUACCUCUCAAUUCUAAAACCUACGUCUAAAUUAGUUAAUUUUAAGGGUAUAAGUGUCUUUUACCCUUCAUGAUAAGUGAAGGUAAAAAUGGUUAUUGUAAACAUGAAAAGUAGUAUUAUGAAUGUGAUAUUUAUGGCAAUUUCCCUAAAUAAUUA